GCGGGAAAGGACCCCCGACGUUCCGCUCCGGGCCACGGCGGGCAAGCGGGCGGGCGCGCGUUUCUGGCCAGCCAUGGCGUACUCGACGUUCCGCAAGGUGGCCCUGGCCUCUUGCUUGGUGCUGUGCGUGUCGCUACUGCUGCCCAAGGUCUUCCUUUCGCGGGGCUGGAGGCAGCCGGAGCCCAGCGCUGCCCCCGCCGCGCCCGAGGGAAAGACCAGUCCGUUUCCUCCAACAAUGCAUCCCCAUAUGUCUCCAGAAACCAGACCACCCACUACCCAUUUCCCAAGGUCUCAUCUUGCGGAAGCAGUUGCAAAGGCCAAGGGUGCAGGUGGAGGAGGAGGCGGUGGAGGCGGCAGCGGAGGCGGAGGCGGCAGUGGAAGAGGUCUUGUAGGACAAGUCAUCCCAAUAUAUGGAUUUGGGAUCCUUUUAUACAUAUUGUACAUUCUUUUUAAGCUUUCUUCUAAGGGGAAAACCACAACAGUUGAGCGGAAAUGUCCUCCGUCGUCAUCUGGAAACACAAACAGGAAAAUCACUGACUAUGAGCUUGCCCAACUUCAAGAUAAGCUGAGAGAGACUGAAGAAGCCAUGGAGAAAUUAAUCAAUAGAGUGGGACCCAACUGUGAAAGUCGGCCCCCAAACGUCACGACUGAUCAAGAGAAAAGGCUACUUCAGCAGCUCCGAGAAAUUACGAAGGUCAUGAAAGAAGGCAAACUCAUAGAUGGAAUCUCCCCAGAGAAAGAAGCUGAAGAGGCUCCAUAUAUGCAGGACUGGGAAGGUUAUCCAGAGGAGACCUAUCCUGUCUUUGAUAACUCUGACUGCGUCAAGCGCAGACAGGACACAAUCCUUGUGGAUUACCCUGACCCCAGCCAGCCUUCAGCUGAAGAGAUAGCAGAGAGAAUGGCGUUUGUGGACGAUGAGGAGUGUUUAUGUAGUGAAACCGUUUUGUCUGCUCUCGCUAUAGUGAACAGUGACCCUGCAGCAGCCCACGAGGCAGAGGACCAGCACGCCACACUCAGCGACCAGAGUGGCGCUGGCCAUGACCCUGAGAAGUGCUACUGCUGCCACUUCGAAGAGGACGACCCUGCUGUGAUAGCGGAGAAUGAGGGCUUCUACCCCGAGAGCGGCGGUGAAAUGGAAGAUGCCGUAGCCCAGGAGGAGCUGCUGCUGGAUUCCGACCUCGAAAAUGCAGCACCCCAAGAGCAAAACGAGGGAAAUUCAGACGAAAUGGGCAUUCUGAGGAAGCGAAACACGAAGGGCAUAGCUUUGCUGGGACACUGAGGAUCAAACACGGAAGGCUAUCUCCCCUUCUAAAAACUGGGAUAAACAGCUGCUUGCAAGACAAAGGCUUGUCUCCGUCGUUGCAUACCCAGCUACUGCAUAUCCUUUGCAUUUGCUGCUUAUUUGGAUCGAAAACUAGUAGUACCCCCUUACCCCCCACAAGUUUAUCAGCCUGGCCACUUCAGCAUCAACUGCCUUAGAAUCACAGAAUCAUAGUUGGAAGGGACCCGAGGAUCAUCUAGUCCAACCCCCUGCAAUGCAGGAAUCUCAACUGAAGCAUCCAUUACAGAUGGCCUCCAACCUCUGCUUUAAAGCCUCCAAGGAAGGAGAGUCCGCUGAGAGGGUCCACCCUACUGUUGAACCGCUCUUAGCGCCAGAAAGUUCUUAGUCGGAAUCUCCUUUCUAGUAACUUGAAGCCAUUGGUUCGGUUCCUACCCUCCAGAGCAGGAGAAAACAAGCUUACUCCAUCUUCCAUACGACAACCCUUUAGAUAUUUGAAGAUGGCUAUCAUACGUAUUCUCCUCUUAUUCAAGCUAAGCAUACCCAACUCUCUCAAUUCUUCCUCAUAAGGCUUGGUUUCCAGACCCUUGCUUGCUAUAGACUCCCAAGGCAACUAAAUCAAGAUAGCUUCUCGUUGUGCCUUCUUUCAGCCUCUCCUCCUGUCAAAAGUAACCCAGUAGGGAAUUUUCCCAGGGUAUUUCUAAAACCUUCACCAAUGUUAACCAUUAGUCAGGUUGAGGCAGCCUGUUUUAGAUACCCUUAAAAGGGCAGCACAUAAUCAGUUUUUAUAUUUGAUUAUCAUAUUUGAUUUACGUAAAAUAGUUGGAGUUUAAGUUUUUGCCCCUGUCUUGGGUGGUCCGCAGACCCAAAUCCUUCAUGCUCCUGUAAUGAGGAAAUCAUAAAGUGAAAGGGGUGUCUUAAUGCCAUUCCUUACAUGCAAGUGUUAGUUGAUUUUCUUGGCUGAUAAGCACAAGGCAUUUCUGGGAAAUUUAGGGGCAAAUCUUAAUACCGUCCACUGCCUAGCAGGACUCAAUGGAGAUGGGGGGCCAGUGCUGUAUCCGCAGCCCUGCUACAUAUUGUGGCUAGGGUGGAUAGCGGGGGAGGCAAGCAGAUCACUGUGCCAGCCUGGAGCUGGCACAGCAGCGAGGCACUGAUCUGGCAUGAUGCUGCUAUCUGACAAACAUGGUGCCAGCUCUGGUUCCAACUGAUCCCAGGCAGGCUCAGCCCCUGGAAUGCCCCAUUGCAAAGCCCUCCACUGGCUGUUGCUGCUGGGGAUCCCAACCAGUGGCACUUCUGCCUGCCGAGAUCUUUGGCAGUCAGAAGGGUGAUGUCUGUACUGAUGGAGUGAUGCUUGCAACCAAGUUGGCAGAGACAGGUGGGACACUGUGGGUGGAGGGGAAGCUUCUGCCCAAUCCAACCUUUCCCCCCAGCCUGGUGCAAGGGUGUGUGUGUGUGUGCCAAAUUAUCUCUUUUUUGUUGUAUCAACAAAGAACAGGGUUUCUUUUUCUAGGUCACUUGUGGAAUGAGCAAUCCAUUUCACCUCGCCUGUGGCUCAAGGCUUACUUACCACGUGAUCCCACAUGAACUUCAAGGCCAACUCUUUCAAAAUGCACUCACAGUUAAAGUGUGCUUGUGUGCAACCAAAACGCAAGGGCACGAUUUUUGGAGGAGAGCAAAACAGAUGACCAAUAUACUUCGUUUGACAGAUGAAUUAACAGCCUAUUUUAAAAAAAACCUGCUUCACUUGCCCAAUGAAAUCACAGAAAGAAAGGGAUUUCCAGGGAUCAAAGCAAACAGAUGAAGAUGCCAAGCACCAUAACACACCUUUUCUGAGGCCUAAAAUUACAUGAGUAGUUUGUCUCCAUAUUUUUCUUUUUCUACUAAAAGUUUUAUAAUUUCUUUUGAUGUUGCAAUUAUUUAUGAAAGCACCAUUUAUUUAUUUAUUUAUUUAUUUGUUUGUUUUAUUAUGUAAGUAUUUAUAUAGCACUGUGUUGUUAAAUAUCACAACAAUCCGAACACAAUAAAACACAACUAUAAGCCGUACAAAAACGACUGGUCAAUCGAUAACACUUAAAAAAACCACUUGUUGGCAUACAGGGGUUGUUUGGGGGGCUCUUUUCCCUUACAAGAGUUUGGGUUUAGAAGAGAUGCUGAAGGCACAAGAAGGAUCAAAUUCUCCCAUGUCGGCUUUUCACAGCCCAAUCCCAUGCAGGUCUACUGAGAAGCAGCAGUGGCUUGAAGGAAGUGGGAAGGGGGUACAGUGUUGUCACUGGGAUGAAGCAGGACAAGGUGGCGAUGAGGUUGGGGAGCUCCAGCGGUGCGCAGGUGCACACACACUUAAGGGGCCAUCGCCUCCACCCUUGUCAAUGAUCACCCUGCUUCAUCCCAGUGAGCUCACUGCUGCCAAGAGGGCACCGCUCCCUUGGCCUACUCGCCUGUAAUGGGCCACUGCUCAGCUCCAGGGUUUGCUCCCGGGAAAUUGUGGUUAGUAUUGUAGGCAAUUGGGUGCAAUCCUGUGUUUUGUCUGCUCAGAAGUCAGUGCCAGUGAAUUGAGUGAGACUCGACUCCAAAGAAAUGUGUAUAGGAUUGUGGCCUUAGAGUGGAACUCCGUGUUGUGCUGUUACAACCGUCUGUGCAAGCACAUCAGCUUAUAAGAAGGUAUGAUCUCUUCCUCCUUCCCCAUGAGCUGUUCUGGGGAUUCUCACAAGAAGCCAGUUUCAGGGAUUGCAGGGAAAGGAGAGGGGAGAAGGCCCUGUUGUGCAAGUGAAAAGUUCAUUAGAUGAAUCCUGUCCCAUGUAUGUAACAUAGUAGGCAUACCGUCCAUUGAAACAUCGUGCAGAUGUAACUAUCCAGUAGAUUGCGAGGAACUUCUCUUGAAGGUGACUCCAUAGAGCCACUGUGGCUAAUUCAAAGUAUGUUUGUAUUGUAGGGUACAUGGAGAAUGUCAACAGCAGCACUUAUAAAAUGGGAGGAAUGUAAGGAGGGUUAAUUUUGGCUGGGUUUUUGUUGUUGCUGUCUACCUAUUCUGCAGCAGGAAAGAUUGUAUGUGUAGGUUGUCUUACGUUUGUGGCUUCUGCUGCUAGAAGGUCUGCCUUUUGGCAACUGUACUGCUUUAAUAACUAGGGACUGAAAUGUCAGAUAUGCCUGGCCAGCAGAAACGCUUCUGUAUUAUCAGUUUCUGUUCCAGGAAUAAGGGACUUUGGUCAUUCCAGUUCUCCAAGACUUUAGCAAAGAUCUGUUUUAGUGAAGUUCAGCACCAUUUCAUGGGUCAUGUUGUACAUUACACAAACCUGCUUUGAAAAUACGGUAGUUUGCAGCACUAAGUGAAUGGAAAAUACCAGAGGAAAUUUGAAAUUUCACAGUCAAAUCCUUCCUUGGAAUGCAGUCAUAGUGAAAUUCAGCUGGGAAACUUUUUAUAUCUGUCCAAUGCACAGAUGUCACAUGGGCCAGGAAGCAGGAAGGGGAAAGCAGUUAUGGUGAGAAAAGGGAGCCAUCUUGGAGCCACAUGAAACCCUUUCCAUAUACCCAUCUGCUGACAAACCUCUACAUAUACGCAAUAAAAGCCACACUAUCCUUGUGUGCUGCAGAGAGACGAGCUACUUUGUUGUCGGGUCACUGAAGGUCAUGUCAGCAGACCCUCUGAAGAGUUUCACCAGGUGACUAGUUGAGGAUGCGACCGAGGAUGCCAAGUAGACCUUCACCGCCUGCGCCAUCUUAUAGUACGUAUCAUUAUGUGCACUACGUUGUGUUCAAUCAACUUCGUAGCAGGCCUUGUGCCACUCAUGCUCUAGACAUUAUUUGGCCUGUUUCAUUGCCAUCAAGGGCCUCAAUUGGAUGGCCAGCUCUAGCCGCUGGGAAAUCCCUGCCCCCUCAGAGCACAUAGGCAGGCAUCCAUUGGAUAAAGUUAGUUUCUGGGGGCAGACUACCCAAAGAGGGGUCACCCACUCCUGCAGGGAGGAAUUGCUGUUGUAAACCCAAUGGCUAUGACUGCAAAGCUUAAUUGAGCAGAAGUGUGGUUAUUUUUAGCAAGCCAUCCAUAAAUUUAAAAGGUGCUCUUGAUAAACUGGACAGAAGAUUUUAAAAAAUAAGUAUAUGCUUUGGUGGUAUUUUUAUGCAUUGCGAUUUGCUGUUAUUUUUAUUGAUGAUUAGUAAUUCUUUAUUGUAAUUGAAAAGUGUAAACUGUUUAAUUCUUAUUUGCUGCUGUUGAAGUUUAUUUAAUAUUUUAUUUAAUAUUGCUUUAUUUGAUGUAAGUUGUUUAUUUUAAUGUUACUGUGACAUUUUUUAUAUUGGAUCAGACUGUUACUAUUAAUGUUUGAUGUUUUAUUAUAUUUUUAUAUGUUUUGGCAGCCACCCAGAGUGGCUGGGGCAUCCCAGUCAGCUGGGCACGGCAUAAAUUAAAAAAUAUUAUUAUUAAUGCAGGUGGCAAGCAUCAAUCUUAAAAGAGACACUUAGCAUUUACUUCCAUUCCACAGAAUGCUUCUUCUAAAGAAGAAUAUGAAAAGUUAAACCAGGAGGGGUUGGAGAAGGAAUAAUAGCAGAAAAGGAGGUGAACUUUUAUUUCUUUACCCUCACCCCCCCCCAACAGGAGCCCACCUACAGCCUAAGGCUUGGGUGCCCACAGGGACAGGGAUGUGCAUAAAAGUGAGCCAUGGAAUCUGUUUUCCUUUCCUAACAAAGAUGACUGCUUUAGUUUGCAACGCUGUGUGCACCUAUUGGGCCAUUGAACCAAGUGGGAAUGAACCUUUCAGUAAGUGUGCCUCGGAUCUGUGUGCAGGGCAACCUAAUUCUCUAAUGGACUACCAAAUAUGUGGGGCCUUCUGUAGUUUUUACUCUGUCGGAAUAAUGCAAGUCGACUGAACUGACAGGGACCUGUUUCUGCGUAAACAUGGUUAGGCUUGUAUUAUGAAAGUACCUUCAACUAAGCACCUGCUUGUGCCUCUUUUCUUUUGGAGGUGAUUGAAACUCUAAGUCAGAUUUGUAGAAAGCCAACUACGCCAAGAGUGUCAUCCCAUGCUUGCCUGCUCCCUAGUAUAUUUAGGGUGGCAGCCUCUGGAUAGGCAAGCAGUUGCAACCUUUAUUAAUGACAGCCCUUGGAGUAAU
Molecule: non-coding RNA, 6379 nt
Organism: Zootoca vivipara (common lizard)
Lineage: Eukaryota; Metazoa; Chordata; Lepidosauria; Squamata; Lacertidae
Source: RefSeq, a predicted model, not a curated record